This is a long non-coding RNA of Erinaceus europaeus (western European hedgehog), 1702 nucleotides long. RefSeq lists it as uncharacterized. The transcript is spliced from 2 exons. NCBI's taxonomy places the organism in Eukaryota, Metazoa, Chordata, Mammalia, Eulipotyphla, Erinaceidae. The record is from RefSeq and is a predicted model, not a curated record.
UUUUUUUUCAUCUUUAUUUAUUGGAUAGAGACAGCUAGAAAUUGAGAGGGAAACGGGUGAUAGAGAAGGACAGAGACAGAGAAACACCUGCAGCCCUGCUUCACCACUCAUGAAGCUUCCCCAUGCAGGUGGGGACCAGGGGCUCGAACCUGGAUCUUUGCGCACUGUAACAUGUGCACCCAAUCAGGUGUGCCACUACCUGGUCCCUCCUUGUUUUUUUUUUUAAUUGUUGUUUUGAUUAUUAUUGUUGUUAUUGCGGUCAUCGUUGUUAGACAGGACAGAGAGAAAUUGAGAGAGGAGGGGAAGACAGAGAGGGGAGAGAAAGAUAGACACCUGCUUCUCUGCCUAUGAAGUGAGCUGCCCCCCGAAAGUGGGGAGCCGAGGGCUCAAACCAGGAUUCUUAUGCCAGUGCUUGUGCUUCGUGCCACGUGCUCUUAACCCCCUGCACUACCACCCGACCCCCAAUACUUUUAUUUAUUUAUUUAAUUAAUUACUACAGUAUAGAGACAGAGAGAACUUGAGAAGGGAGGAGAUAGAGAGGAAGAGAGACACCUGCAGCCCUGUUUCACCACUUGUGAAGCUUUCCCCCUACAGGUGGGGACCAGGGGCUUGAACCUGGGUCCUUGCACACUGUAAUGUAUAUGCUUAACCAGGUACACCACUGCCUGGCCCCUGCCUCACAUUCUUUCUCUGAUUCAAUUAUCACAUGAACACAAGGAGACUGUCCUGUUAGUUUUCACAUUUUUGAAAAGAAGAAACCCAGAGGAAGGCUAACUAUUUAGUUUGCCCAGUGCUGCAGAGUCAGUUACUGUUGGGGCUGGAGGUCAAGGGCUAUGGGGGAAAGGCAGUCUGUCAGGGUGCACUCUGUCCCGAUGGCUCACUUGUCUCUUCCUGGUGCCCUGAGCUUCCUUCCCCCUGUCACUAGCUGCUCUGCUGAAUCAAUCAGCCAGAAACACAGGUCAGAUCUGUGACAUGUCUGCCUACAGCUGGCAGCAAGCAGCCCACUGCCUGUCUUCUGAGGGUGUUUUCAGCCUGCAGGCCUGUGUCAAACCCAAGAAGUGGUGCUGAGGGUGUUAAGGACUAAGGAGCAUCCUUGGGAAAGGAACAUUCUAGUAAAAUGAAGAGGAUGGACCAGAAGACCUCUGGAUUGGAUUUUGCCAACCAGAAGACAUAGGGCUGUGUCCCUGGAGGUGCUGACCAAGACCAACAUUGGUAGAGUGCCUGUGUGUGGGUUUCUGUGAAUACAGAAAUGAAUUGACUUCCUGCCACAGUCAAGCAGAAAAUGGGGAAAAAAAAAGGAAACAGACAGCUGACCAUGGGCAGCACAAAGGACAGCAACCUCAUGCCUGCUUUGAUGGCAUCUGCUGACAGUUCCCUGCCUGUGGCAAAGGGAAACUAAGUCAGCCACAGUGGGCUCCCUAAGAUGACAACACAAGGUCCGUGUGCAAAGACCAGUGGGACCCUAAACCAGAUACAACAAAGGUGACUCCAUGGAGAAGGGAAAACCCUUUCAAUAGAAAUAAAUAAUAGUCAUCACAAAAUGAAGAACAGAUACAUUCAACUUCCCUAAACUUAAGACUGGGAGAAAGUCUUUGUCAAGCAAGUGUCACACAAAAGACUUGCAUCCAGAUAAAGGACUUUCACAACUCAAUAGUCAAGAGGCUAUUUACUUAAAAGAUGGAAAAGUGUGGUCCGGGAGGUG